GAUGAAGAACGUAGCGAAUUGCGAUAUGUAAUGUGAAUUGCAGAUUUUCAGUGAAUCAUCGAAUCUUUGAACGCACCUUGCGCUCCUUGGUAUUCCUUGGAGCAUGCCUGUUUGAGUAUCAUGAGCAAAUCUCAAAGUCGAUCCUUUUGUUAAUUCAAUUGGUUUUGCUUUGGACUUGGAGGUCUUGCAGAUUUCACCAUCUGCUCCUCUUAAAUGUAUUAGCUGGAUCUCAGUAUUUAUGCUUGGUUCCACUCGGCGUGAUAAGUAUCACUCGCUGAGGACACUGGUAAAAAGGUGGCCAGGAAAAUACUGAUUGACCCGCUUCUAACGGUCUAUUAACUUAGACAAUUACCCUUAAGUUUGAUCUCAAAUCAGGUAGGACUACCCGCUGAACUUAAGCAUAUCAAUAAGCGGAGGA
Molecule: unclassified non-coding RNA, 418 nt
Filed under: soil metagenome
Description: partial contains 5.8S ribosomal RNA, internal transcribed spacer 2, and large subunit ribosomal RNA
Rfam family: 5.8S ribosomal RNA (bases 1-121)
Source: RNAcentral